Molecule: non-coding RNA, 239 nt
Filed under: Paraliobacillus sp. PM-2
Lineage: Bacteria; Bacillati; Bacillota; Bacilli; Caryophanales; Bacillaceae
Source: RNAcentral
AAAUAGGCGAAGAAAGAGUCAGUAGACGUUACAAUGAUACAAUGCAUAGGGAUAAAAGGCCAUGGACUGUAAGCUUUUUUCAUUGUAGUAAGGUUGAAUUUUCACUCUGGAGCUGGCGUUUGGGACCUUGCUAUUGGCAAGUAAGAACGUUACCGGAAAUGUUUUCCGUUAUCAAUUUAAGUGGACAAAUCAUAAUUUGUCAACAAGGGUGGUACCGCGAUCCAAGCCUCGUCCCUUUU